This is a long non-coding RNA of Ictalurus punctatus (channel catfish), 11434 nucleotides long. Lineage: Eukaryota; Metazoa; Chordata; Actinopteri; Siluriformes; Ictaluridae. The record is from Ensembl.
CUCAGUCGUGGCUUGACCUCAGCUAGUCCUUGUCUGCACAGUCUGACUUUCUGGUUCAGACUUUCUCAGGUGGAGCAGAGAAGCAGAGCACGCCGGACUCGUUCAACUGGAUCACGUUUGCAUGCCUGCACACAAGCUGCUCUGUGCUCACGGGUGUGGUCAAAGUCUUUAAACUGUAACUCAGCUGUCUCACCUGAAUACGUGAUAAUAUUACUACAGGAACAAAUGCAGGUACACGAUUGCUCACAGUAGUCCAGGAAAUAAUGGCACCCCAUCUGCCCCGUGCCUUAAUGGAAAAUGGACCACGACGGCAGCAUCAUUGAGCAGACGUGAUUUCUGCGCAUGUGCAAACUUAAACAUAACAUAACACGUGCACAAGCCUUAGUGGGUGUUAUUGUCUCCAUGGAGGCGUCACUUAGUGCAUGCAUUGUUCAUUUUAUAUAUUGAUUUUUACUCAUUUUUAUAAAAUAGUCCAAUAAUUUUGGCGUUGACUCCAAGGCACGCCCACACUCAAAGACACCCUCAUUUAGACGAAAGAUUCUGUGGCCUGCAGAUGAACCUGGAGAAUCAAGUCGAACAUAAAGAUUGGUUAAAUGCCCAAGUUUUCCAACAGAUACCAUUUGGUUUUUUUUAACAUAACAUUAUUGAAUAAGACCAGUGUUGGGUAAGUUACUCAAAAAAAAGUAAUCCAAUACAGAUGACCAAUUACUACUUUACUGAUAAUCUGAUUACAUGACUGAUUCCUGCAUGUAAACAUUAAUCAGAUUACUAAUUACUUUACUUUCAUGUUACUUUCAAAACCUCUCAACCCUACAAAAAUACACUACAAAGUGAAACUCACACAGCUAAGCUAUCACUGUAUGGGUUGAGCUGCUACAGAGCCAUGUAGUGUUCAUUAUCUUCCAUUACCUUCUGCUCACAUCAUGUUCACGUAAACUGGAACUCAUAUAGACAUUGACUCCGUUUACAUGGACAGCAGUAAUCUAAUUAUUGACCCUACUCUGUGUUAGAUAAUAAUGUGAUUAAGGUGUUUAUAUGAAUCGCUUUUAGAAUACUCCUGUCAUGUUCCCAUUUUACAUGUUAUAGAACAUAAUUAGAUUAACAGCACAUGUCAUUACGUCACCGCGCCACGCCGUCCGACGUCCCUCCAGAAUUUCACGUAUCAACAUACAGUUCGUCUUCGUUAUGGUACCGUAUACAGUUUUGGGUGUUUUUAUUUAAUUUUUUUUACGCACACUUUAAGUGCGGUUAAUUAUUAGUCAUGCUAUACGUGCAAAUAGACGACUGCUUGAAGCUGUGGGCUGCGUCUCAAACCGCGUAAUUACCGUUUAUAUAAUAGCCGAGAUACAUGUAUUUUUCCCCACUACAGGCCUAUAGUAGGAAAGUAUGCAGUUUGGGACGCGGCCGAACUCUCUUGUUCGCUGUAAAACGUAAAACUGCCGUGUGUGAUUGUGUCCUGUCGCAAAAUACAGUGAAAACUCUCACACAAUGUUCAUAAUGUGAUUAAGGUGUUUACAUGUCUGUAAUACACGUCCAUAAUGCGACUAAAACAGGAGUACUCCACCUGUCUUAAUUCGAUUAGUGAUUACUUCGAUUAUGACCUUAAUUAGAUUAAGGUAAGUAAAAACUGCUGUUUACAUGGUAGUUUCUUAAUCAAAGUAAGGUCUUAAUCGGAUUAAGAGUGGAUUAUUGUUGUCCAUGUAAACGUAGCUAUUUAUACACCUUGUUUUCCUGCUCAGCAUCAGAGGAUGUUACUGCUUCAGUUUCAACGCAUUUACUGGUUUAAAUAAAUAAUCGACAUAUAUCCAUUUUUCCUCACACUGACUGUGAGCUAGCAUUUGGCAGAAUUGAGAAACCGUCAGCCAAUAAGACGCGAGUGUUGACACGUAUUUUCCUGUAAACGCUGUCUGAUUGGUCCGUUCACUGAAGAUGAAGUUUAGUUACAUAGUGACAAACUGCUCCACGUGGAGAAUUAUUCGUUGCUAAAGAAAAUAAAUCUUUGGGGCUACAGCACCCAACGCCCAGGCCAGGUUACAACCCUGACAACCGUGCAAAACAGGGUUUAUUUUAAAAAUGUAUUUUACUUAGCGUUGUACUCUUAACAAUAAAUUUGUAAUGCAAGUAACGUGAUUUUAUUGACAUCGUUAACUGUAAUCAAAUGACAAAUUUAAAAUGUAAUGCAUGUUACAUUACUACGUUAUCAGAAAAAGUCAUUCGAAUACAGUAACAGUUACACCCAACUCUGGAGAAGACACUACCUGCAACAUUCUGCAUUUAUAAUCUGUUACAGAUCUAUGACUGGCAAGUUAUCUUCUCUCACAUUCUCAGGAAUUGAACUCACAAACUCCUAGAGAUAUAAGGUGCACUCAAAUCACUCUGGUUGUCUGUGAACGUGUCUUAUCUUGACGUCUGAUUGCCUUGAUUGUCCUGGAAACACCUCUUUAGUGCAAAUCUACAUAGCUAGAGAACACAUGCAAAAGCUAUUAUUUGACCAUAAAUCAGAUGUACUCUAGAUACCGUAAAAAGGAACUGAUUUCCUAAGGAAAUCAUUUGUGUAUAAGUUCUAUUUGUGCACUGCCAUGAAAUGCUUGGGGGAACGCUGGACUUCACUUCCCAGCAGCCACUGCACCGCUGUGUCACGGUCACAUGACCACCUGCACCUGAACUUCAUUCACGUUAAUGAGUACUUACAGGUAUAUAUAACCACAGUUUGCGGUGCACUUUUGUCUUUCUUUGCCGUUGUUUUUGGUGUUGUGUUAUGGUCUUUGUUUUGUGUUUAUUCCUAGCCUCAUCGUGUACACCAGUGCUGUUGUACAGUAUUUGGGUACAUUUAAAAAAAUAUAAAAUUCAAGCUUGUAGCAGUAUGGUGAGUCAGAGGUUCGGGAAUGUAUAUAAUCUUUACCGCCCACUUCACUUCACCUCCCAGAAAUCAGUAGAUAUCACUAAAAAUGAGUGAUUUACAUUUGCUUUGUUACGUCACAAAUGUGUGAAAACAUGGUUAGACAAAAAAUCUAGUUUAUCCAUCAGGAAGUCAAGUCUGGCGUAAAGUAUGAUUAUGCCUUUGGUUUAUAGCAUGUUACUACACAUUGUGUGUUGCAAGGAAAUUGUAUGGAUCAGUCCCAAGUUGAGGUAAUCCCCCGAGGAAGAUAUGAAUGAUUAAUUGGAUCCUCCAGGUGAUGUCAGGUGUCUGGAGAGGGUCCAUCAGCAGGUUGUAAAGCAGAUGCUGCAGUAAGCACACCAGUCUCCAAAUCAGGCAUGCAUCAAUGGGAAAAUAGGAUGGCAUCAUUUAAGACAGAGGAGGUGCUACAUUUUUAAUAUAUUGCAGUGGAUGAGAGCAAAGAGAGAGGGUGAAGAAUUAUAUCAAUUUAAUAUUACAAUGAGCAAAUUUCUUUUGAUAAAAUUUGAGGUGGCUAAUAUUAAACAGUCAGCUAUAGGAAAUCAAUGAAUAUCUAGUUAGUAAGUGUUUAACAUUUCAUGUUAAAAAAAGGAACAAAUUGGCAAUACAUAAAAAAAAAAAAAUUGUUAUGACAGCCCUACUUUAGUCUGGACAGUUGUGAGUCAAUUCAAACCCAGAGACAAUUAAGGUGUGUCCCUGAACAAUGAAUUAGCAGCUACGACGAGCAUUAACAAGCACUGGAAAAGUGAAUUAACUGCCACAUGACACAUUCUUAAUCUUCCUGAUUUGUUGUGUCACAGUCUGUAUACACUAAUGCCUAGUGUUUUUCAGAGGAAUUGGCAUUCCUGGGGGGUAAGGUGGCUUAGUGGUUAGCACGUUUGCCUCGCACGUCCAGAGUUGGUGGCUCGAACCAUGCCUCCACCCUGUGUGCAUGGAGCUUGCAUUUUCUCCCCAUGCUUUGGGGAUUUCCUCUGGGUACUCUGUUCCCCUUCAAAGUGAACUCAACGUUGCGUGAACUUUAUGCUGUGGGAAGCUCCCUCAUGCGUGAUCAGCAUCUGAAGCUUGUGUAACAUCAUGCCUAUCAUCAUGACUUCUCAUUUGUAAGUCGCUUUGGACAAAAGCAUCUGCUAAAUGAAUAAAUGUAAAUUUAUAGGCCUGCCGUGAUUAGGUGACAUGGAAACUGUGGGUCUGGCCCCUGAGGGACACCAGCUCAUAGAUUCUGGUUUCACAACUGAGAUUGUAGAGACCAUGUUGAAUGCUAGAGCAUCAUCCAUGAGGAAAUUGUAUGCGCUCAAGUAGCGACUUUUUGUCUCAUGGUGUGAGGAACGUCAGCUAGACCCAGUGAACUGCGCAAUAGCUACAGUCCUGGAGUUCUUACGAGGACAUUUCUCAGCAGGGUUGGCUCCUUCUGCAAUCAGGAUCUACAUGGCUGCCAUUUCGGUCAGCUAUGCCCCUAUUAAUGGAGCCUCUGUGGGGCAACAUCCUCUAACUUCGAGGUUUAUGUGUGGUGUCAUUAGAAGCUUAUGACUCUAAAGGUAGCUCUUUGGCUGGACCUGGCAUCUCUCAAGUGAGUAGGAGAUCUGCAAGCUCUCUCUGUUGCCCCUUCCUGCCUUGACAUUGCCCCUGGAUUAGCCAAGGCCUUCCUAUAUCCUAGACUGGAUUGUAUUCAGUGUGUAUAAAGUGCCUACGUCUGCUCCCCAGCCAGAAGUGUUGCAGGCUUUUGCCCUCCUCCAUUCCUCACACCGGAACAAGAGAAAUUGCACCUACUGUGUCCAGUAAGGGCUCUCUGUACUUACAUCCACCGCUCCGGACAGUGGUGUAAGUCAGAGCAGCUGCUGGUCGGCUUUGGCGGUGACUGUAGAGGUGAUACUUUCUAAAAGCAGCGUAUCUCUAAUUGGAUAGUGGCUGCAAUCUCUAUCGCUUAUGAGGCGCAUGGUCUCGCUACGCCUCUGGGCAUAAGGGCUCAUUCCACUAGGGGUGUCGACUUUUCAAUGCUUUGUCUAAAGGGGUACCCUUACAGGAUGUUUGUGUUGCAGCGGGGUGGUCUAUGCCACACACAUUCAUUCGAUAUUACAGCCUGGAUAUACAUUCCACCCCGGGCUCGAGUGUCUUGCAGUGACCCUCGUGCUCAGAUCUUUUUAUACAGGCCAUACCCUCAGUAUGACGGAGUGGGUAUUCUCUUUCCCACAGCAUGGAGUUCACGCAAGGUUGAGUUCCCUUUGAAAGGGAGCAUCUGGUUUAUACAUGUAACCCUGUACGAGACUUUGCAUAGCUUUGUUAUACCAGGGCAGGCCUGUGAAUUGCGUCUUCGCUUCAGAUAAUAAAGGCUGACGGCGCGGUUCACGGGUGUCCUUUAUUUAUCAUGCGACAUGCUUAAUUGCCACGUCACCUGAUCAUGGCAGGCCUAUAAAUAGGCAUGAUGUUACACAAGCUUCAGAUGCCGGUCACGCGUGAGGGAGCUUCCCAAAGUGUGGAGCUCACACAACUUCUCGUUCCCUUCUCGGGGAACAGGGUUACAUGCGUAACCUAGACAGUUUCCUCCCCCAGUCCAAAGACAUGCAUUGUAGGCUGAAUGGAAUCUCUAAAUUGUCCACAGUGUGUGAAUGUGUGUGCACAUGUGACCUGUGAUGAGUUGGCACCCCAUCCAGGGUGUCCCCCACCUUGCUCCCUGAGUUCCCUGGAAUAGGCUCUAGACUCCCCGUGACCCUGUGCACGAUAAACACUAUGGAAAAUGGAUGGGUUGAUUUGAAGACUUUUUGACAUAAAUCCAUCGAUGUGUGUUGCUGGAAAGUUGUGGGCAUGGGAAAUCAAUUUUAGGAGAAUUGUUUAUAUGUAUUUAAUUGAUGUUUAGUGCUUAUUUUCUCCACAGUUUUCUCAGUUUCGCCCCUUGACUGGCUCUUAUUGGUUGACACAUGAGAUCCACUGUGAAUAUUCUACCAACAAGUCCUCUUUUGUAACAGACAAUAUAGCCUAAGUUUUUAGCACUUGCAUGCAUUGUUCAUCAGCCAGUAAGAGACGUCAGACACAGCUCCAGGGUCCUGGGAUCAUCCCUGAGCUCCACUGUGUGUAUUGUUCUCCCCUUUUCCACAUGGGGUUCUCUGCUGUCCUUCCAAACACGUGACAGAAGGUGACUUGGCGAUGCUUAAUUGGCCCUAGGCGUGAAUGAGUGUGUGAAUGGUAGACUGGCGUUCUAUCUAGGGUGUAUUCCUGGGAUAGGCUCCGGAUCCACCACCACCCUGUCUAGCGGUUUCUGAAGAUAAAUUAAUAGAUAUAUUUUGAUGGAUACUUAACAUUUAAUUUAAUAUAUUGUGCAUUUAAUCAAUGCUACUGGGCUUGAGUUCACUCGCUUUGAUUUGAAUCUCAAUAUCCAAUAUUGACACAGAUUGUGUUUAUCCUGAGAGCUUGUCUUUGAAGCCAGUGGAUAUUAAAACAGUUAUGAGAAAGUGUACAGAAUAAUUAUCGUCUGACUCAGAGGGUGCAGUAAUACAAACUGAAAUAUUUUUCUUUGUGAAAGUCUGCCCAGUGUGUAACAGGAUACUUAGGCUUUAGCAAACCAAGCAAGAAAAUGGUGACAUGAGAUCUUGUCAUCACAGCCGUGAUUUACCACAGGGGUGUGGUCCAAGCCAAUCCUUUAAGCCUGUACCCAAACCCAAAUUAUCUUGUUCUGAACUGAGCAGGAGCUAAGUGGAGAACUGCUCAGUAAUUUUUAUUAGCGAUGAUUAAGAUGAUGAUUACUUUUGCUAGUAACCUGGGAGUGCCUCAGACACACUCAUAUUAUCUGUUAAUAUACAGAGGCUCAAUUUGGCCGGUCUGGUGAUCUCAAAAUGCUUGAAAUUCACAUUUGCUGUGGUCAGAUGAGAAGCAAAUCAUGUUUGAUAUAAGAUCAAUGGACUGCAACAACACCUUGCCAGGAGAGAAAUACCUUCUGUUCACCGUCACACCACGUUCUCAUUUCUGCUGGUUUCCUAGCAAGUUUGCAAACUAAAGUAGCUGGAAAUCAGCACUGAGAAGUUCUUUGGUUAAUGUCGGCUGGGUGUGUGAUGGGUGGUAGCACACCUUACAGUAUCUCAAUUGCUGUUCUGCCCAUUUUGCUUUGCCCACCUGCAGUACUUCUAGUAAAAGCCAAUCAUUGGCCAUCUUGUGACCUCCAUAGGAAGUUCUUUCGAGUUCUGCAAGGCCAGGUUCCAACCUAUCUGAAUGAGGAUACAACGUUUUAACCACUGGAUUUGAAAUGGCCGACAAAAAUGGUGUCCGUGGCUCCAGUAACAAUUGCUCAGCUACUUCAUGCAUGUUUCUCCAUAAAAAAGCAGAGCAAGAACCUGAUAGGCUAGGCGCUUUCUGCUAACCUCUUAACCAACAAAGUGAUCGUCUAUUUUUGUACGUUCUACUCCUUUCAGGCAAAUGUCUCCAAAUUCUCCUUUAAUAGAACCUGAAAAAAGAAGCAAUCAAUGCAAAAGCUUUCCAGGUUCAAAUAUUAAUUAAUCACUGAAAAUAAUAAUAAAUAAAUGAAAACGACAACAAUGUAGCUCUCUUUCAGAAGUAAGAUUACAUGUAAGAAAAACAGCAGCUUCUGAAUGUGUAUCUACAACUGAUAGUAAGUAUUUAGUAUGUUCACCAUAAAUAAAAAAUACCGUAUAAUGUGCACAUGUUUAUUCAUACCUAAUAGAGCAAAUGAGUCAGCAUAAGAAUCUGAUUGGCUGAUAACACAUUUAGCUGAAUCUGAAUGUGAUUUUUGGUACCACAUUUAGCCAUGUUUAGUGCUGCCCCAUUCGUAUCUUUAAGAAAUUACCCAUCUACUCAUACAGCCUCUGACUGCGGAUAAACGAUAUGAAACAUCAGACAUAAGAGACAGAUCGCUUAAGGAGGACUUUCAUUGUUUCGUCUUAUUCACUCCGAAGUUAUUUAUUCAUAUAACGAUCACUACAGUGCACAAAAAUACCACCUGCAUUACCGUGUCCGAGUUAUAAGCUGAAUUUAUAACUUGGCACUCUUUAACCUGCACCAUACAAUCAGUGCUUUGUGUGUGUUCGUGGGUGUUGCCAAAAAAAAUGCACCCUGUUUGCUAGAAUGAGUCAAAAGCACUUCAUCAUUGUCACUCACUGAAAUGCUUCAGAAAAAUCAAACAGUUCAACCUGAACAUUAUAUGCUAUGUGUUCUGUAAUACUACAGAAGUCAGACAGAGAGAGAGAGAGAGAGAGAGAGAGAGAGAGAGAGAGAGAGAGAGAGAGAGAGAGAGAGAGAGAGAAGCAGCAAUGAAGGGGCUCUAGUAUGAUUUUGACUGGAUUUGCCUUGUAACUACAGACACACACUUUCGCCACUUUUGCUGUUGUUUUCAUUGUUUGGUCUCCAUAGCAACCGCUUAGUAUGGGAGUGUGUGUGACUUCCUGUACAGAGUAACACAGUGAGCUUUCAUCCAGACUGUGUUUACACUCUCCCUGGAAUUAUAUAUCAGGACCACAAGAGUGACUCAGCCUGAAAAGAUCCCGCAAAUCUGAAGCACCAGUUCACGCCACUGGUUCUGCUGUUCAGUUUUAUUUCCUUUUUUUUUCUUUCUCGAAGUCAGAUUUACAGCUGAAGGAUACUCGUUUAGAUAGUCGUUUGCCAUUUAAAAAGGUUGUAUGGCAUACAGAAGUCAAAUUACAGGCAUAGUUCAAACACAGCCGUGCUACAGUAGUUUUUCAGUCAAUGUUUAAUCCCAUGUGGGCAGGAAUUUUGGGUGUGGACUCUUCACAACUCUUCACGACUCAACAAUAAAAAGUGUACUCUUUCUCUGGAAGUAGGUUGAUAGUUUAUACGAGCCUUGCUAAAAGAAAACACUGAGAAAAUCUCAGUGAUUUCUCUACGUAACGUGAAUUGUCUGAAUGCUUUAUGUUAAAACAUGUUCUGGUUACUGUUAAACUCCACCGGAACACAAUAGGACCUCCAACCAGGAAUUAACAUCAGAAUACAAUGAGAUACGCCAUGAGCCACGAGCCACGAGCCAUGAGGAGCAUGAUAUUCCAUUAAAAUAUCAUUACAGAAACAUAAAAUAAAUAAAGUACUGAUUUAUAAAGAAAACCUAACAUCUAGAAGAGCAGCAGUUCUGCUGGAAUGUAGAACAGAAAUUAAAUAAAAUAUAUUAUUUACAUUUACAUUUACAUUUAUUCACUUAGCAGACGCUUUUAUCCAAAGCGACUUACAAAUGAGAAAGAUAUUACAAAUAAAAUAUACAAAUAAAAUAUAUUAUGCCAUGCUGCUGGUUAUCAUUUCUGUUAAAAGCAGCUCAUACACAGGUACGUGUAGAGUAGACACCUCACAUCAACAGGUUGUGCAUCAUCAAUAAGUUUUCUGCCAAGACAUGUUUAUUUAACAUUUAUGGAAGGAGUCAUCAGUGGUAAAUAAGUCUUAAAUUCUCCAACAUCUUAAAAAUAGGAGUUUAUGCUUUGUGGUUUCGAUUUCGGCACAUUUACAACCUCAUUUACAUGCAAAAACUUUUAACUGAAGAGUCCAUCAAAGUGUGGAGACAAAAAAAAUUAAAUAUCAGUCCUUAGGCUUCCAUUCUCAGAUCAGUGAGGUUGCCAUAAACAGGUUUUCUGUUCUUUUCUCAGUGCAGGAAAACGUGGACAAAAUUCUCAUCUAUAUUAUCCGCCCACGUAUGUACCAUACUACACCACUACACACGGGGAGGAGUGAGCUUAGGGUGAAAAACACUGGCGUACACCUUGGCUAGCGAUAAGCCUUCAUCGCUUCUGGAAUGUGUAUCUACACCCAAUAUUCAUUAAGUAUUCAGGAGAUUCACAAUACUUAUUACAUUACAGCAUUUGGCAGAUGCCCUUAUCCAGAGCGACUUACAAUUAUCUCAUUUAUACAACUGAGCAGUGGAGGGUUAAGGGCCUUGCUCAGGGGCCCAACAGUGGCAGCUCGGCAGUGUUGGGGUUUGAACUCACAACCUUCCCAUCAGACGUCCAACGUCUUAACCGCUGAGCUCCUACUUCUCAUACUCAACGUAUACGUUAUAAUAUACUUUAUUCUACUUUCUCUCCACCCACAACUCCUUCACACACUUGACAGUUUACUUGCUUAGGGGCAUGCGUACACACACACACACACACACACACACACACACACACACACACACACACACAAACACAAACACGAAAAUUACCUAACAGGUUUAAAAUUUCACUUGAGGCUCAAGUCAAAAGUAGAUUUAUGUGCCACAUUGAAAUGAAAGCCUUCAGCUUACGAACAUCUGCAAUUCUAAGAAAUCACAGUCUGUUCUGGAAUGUACAGUGUGCCAGAUUUUGUCAGCAGAUUUUGCAUGUAUAAUAUAAUAUAUAAUGUGCACGAUGCAGAAUUACAGAUUUGGUAGUGCUUUAUUUCACGAGUCCCUCAUUGGGACUUCAUAACAUAUUCAUAUACAUUACAUAGUCCAUUAUAAAGCGGUGCUGGAGGACAUAUGAGGAUCUACGUCUUAUAUCGAGUCAUUGAGUGGUGACUGUUGAGGACUCUUUUUCUCGACAUGACGUAGAGAAAGGCUUCAGUUAUCAUCGCAGGUCGAUUGUUCAGACUGUCGUGUGUAAUUUUGAAUCCUUAUGUCGCACGUGAUUAGUUUGUCUUAUAACAGCAUAGUUAUGAAUCUUUGAGUCUCUUCUAUAAUGGAUCUACAUCACCUUGCGUCCUGCAUAGCGUAAGUUGAACGUGCGUUAAAAUCUAUUACGAUGCAUCAUUCCGAUACAAGUUUUAUUUUUUUAUUUAUACUCUAUAGUUCUUGCACCAGCCGUAUGAAUGAUGUUCAUGUCCUCAAACUUAAGUGGUGAUACAUAACCCUGUUAUGAAGAAUUAUGUACACCUUCCACAUUGUCACUUGUAUAAGAAGCACAUAGUCAAAAACUUUUCAACUUUUCAUAAAGAAUAAAGCAUUUAUAAAGGGUUUUUUACAGGGAUCAUUGUAUUGCUAGGCUCCCAAGCGGGUUCUAGUUUGGAACCCUUUUUGAUACUGAUAAAAGGUUCUGUAUAACACCAUUAAGGGUUCACGCUGGCAGACAACUCAAGAUCCGACUGCCCCCCAGUCCCUACCCAUCCCACCACCCCCACCCCAAGAGCGUAUGAAGUAUCCGUUCUCCGGUAUUUCCUUCGUCUGAAUUCGUUUAGCAAAACUGGUGAUCACUUCUGGUCCAGGACUUCCGGUCAAGUUAUUCAUUCAGCUGACAUAAGGGAAUCUCAAUAGGUGAUGCUGUAGCUGCUUCAUAAAAUUGUUUAAUAAACAUAAAAUGAAUGAUCGGUUUAAGCCGAGGACGUGGUUCCUAUACGCUGCGGUUCAUUCAGCUGACAGAAAAGUUUCGUAAAUGAGUGGAGUUGUGUUGUCAUGGUAACACUUUAUAACACUUUUGAUGAUGUUUUGAUCAUGAUCAUUUCAUGCUACUGGAUUAAGUAAAUACAGUAAUUACCGAAUUUAAGAUGGCAGCGGAUAUUUCAUAAAAGAGUCAUAAAGCUUUAUAAUUGUGAUGUAAAGAAAAACUACUGAGGUACGAGAUCAAUAUAUAUAUAUAUAUAUAU